UAAAGGAAGCGAUUCCGGCUACGGAUGGUCAUGCGUCGCAUUAGCUAGUUGGCGGGGUAACGGCCCACCAAGGCGACGAUGCGUAGGGGUUCUGAGAGGAAGGUCCCCCACACUGGUACUGAGACACGGACCAGACUCCUACGGGAGGCAGCAGUGAGGGAUAUUGGUCAAUGGCCGCAGGGCUGAACCAGCCAAGUCGCGUGAGGGAUGACGGUCCUAUGGAUUGUAAACCUCUUUUGUCAGGGAGCAAAGGACGCCACGUGUGGCGUUUUGCGAGUACCUGAAGAAAAAGCAUCGGCUAACUCCGUGCCAGCAGCCGCGGUAAUACGGAGGAUGCGAGCGUUAUCCGGAUUUAUUGGGUUUAAAGGGUGCGCAGGCGGAAUGUCAAGUCAGCGGUAAAAUUUCGGGGCUCAACCCCGUCGUGCCGUUGAAACUGGCGUUCUUGAGUGAGCGAGAAGUAUGCGGAAUGCGUGGUGUAGCGGUGAAAUGCAUAGAUAUCACGCAGAACUCCGAUUGCGAAGGCAGCAUACCGGCGCUCAACUGACGCUCAUGCACGAAAGCGUGGGUAUCGAACAGGAUUAGAUACCCUGGUAGUCCACGCAGUAAACGAUGAAUACUAACUGUCCGGGCCGAUUGAGGUCUGG
RNAcentral lists this ribosomal RNA (644 nucleotides) under uncultured bacterium. Its description in RNAcentral is "bacterial SSU rRNA". It matches the Rfam family "Bacterial small subunit ribosomal RNA", at positions 202 to 842 of the family's 1533-position model. The record is from RNAcentral.